Non-coding RNA from Hypomontagnella submonticulosa, 96 nucleotides. The record is from the annotation of a GenBank genome assembly. Lineage: Eukaryota; Fungi; Ascomycota; Sordariomycetes; Xylariales; Hypoxylaceae.
ACACCCAUAGAGCAGUAGUUAGCUCAUUUCUCUCACAUUAUCCAGCAAUGGUAUAAUGGUGCGGAAAAGACCCGGGUGCAAAUCCCGGUGGGUGUA